Podarcis lilfordi (Lilford's wall lizard) is the source of this 65-nucleotide non-coding RNA. The record is from the annotation of a GenBank genome assembly. Lineage: Eukaryota; Metazoa; Chordata; Lepidosauria; Squamata; Lacertidae.
GUAGCUCAGUGGUAGAGUAUCUGCUUUGCAUGCAAAAGGUCUCAGAUUCAAUCCAUGAAUGUCCA